Long non-coding RNA from Corythoichthys intestinalis (scribbled pipefish), 328 nucleotides. RefSeq lists it as uncharacterized. The transcript has 3 exons. Lineage: Eukaryota; Metazoa; Chordata; Actinopteri; Syngnathiformes; Syngnathidae. The record is from RefSeq and is a predicted model, not a curated record.
CAGCGCUUCUGCCUAUCACAGCCUUCACAGGGCGGAAGUCUCCGGUCCAAAUCGCCUACUUGACUUCAAGAACUCUCUUUCUGACGGUGUACUCGUCCUGAGUUCUGUGGUGGAUGACACCUGUGUCUUGAUUCAGCAGAAGAUGAACAUCAGCCUGAUAGCCGACUUGGCGGUGAGCUUCGAGGCAAUGUAAACCUUAUCAACUCUGAAUGGGAACCAAGAGGUCCUAGGCCUGUAGCGAACCCAAUUGCACCGAAAGCAAAGUGGAGUCUUUGAAGUAUUUUAGCUCAUUACUCUCCUGUAGUAGUUUAUAAAUAAAGAUUUGGAG